AUGAGAGUGAUCUAGCUGUGACAUCUGUCACCCCAUUGAUCCCCCCCAAGAUUGAUUGGGCCGAUUUGGCUGGAUAAGCAGUGUCCCCUUCCUUCCUUACCACUAUGUGUACAUCCCUCCAGAAGCUGCACGCUCAAUCAAGAAAAUGAUGGCCCCCAAUAGAGAAGGACCACUCUGCUGCUAG
Molecule: small nuclear RNA, 184 nt
Filed under: Cavia porcellus (domestic guinea pig)
Lineage: Eukaryota; Metazoa; Chordata; Mammalia; Rodentia; Caviidae
Description: 7SK RNA
Rfam family: 7SK RNA
About the family: 7SK was discovered as an abundant small nuclear RNA in the mid-70s but a possible function has only recently been suggested. Two independent studies have found that 7SK RNA binds the CDK9/cyclin T complex (known as elongation factor P-TEFb). P-TEFb activates transcription by phosphorylating the C-terminal domain of RNA polymerase II.
Source: Rfam by way of RNAcentral